This 1147-nucleotide long non-coding RNA is filed under the name Strigops habroptila (Kakapo). RNAcentral's name for it is "lncRNA (ENSSHBG00005014020.1)". Lineage: Eukaryota; Metazoa; Chordata; Aves; Psittaciformes; Psittacidae. The record is from RNAcentral.
CUGGAACUGAGUGCCUGAACAUGGAAUUUUUCAGGACCUCUGGUGUUCUCAUCAAUCUCUUUAAGAGCACAGCAACAAAACCACCCCGAGGAAAGCUGGAGACAUACCAUGCUGAGGAGCAAUACUGGCUAAUGCUCCUAAAUGUGCAAUAGCUUAUAGAUGAAAAGUGAAUUAUGCCACAGUACAAUACAUCUUCUUUUCUGAAACGUUGUUUUAUUAUAGUCCUUGCUGGACACAUACAUCUUAACAGAUGGCACACUACCUCUUUUGUGUUUCCUGUCCAUGUUGCCUUGGUGCUCUUCAUAACACAAGGUGCUUGUGGCCUUAGCAGAGAUUAUUUGAGUCCCUUUUUAUCUUUCAGACUGUAUGUGCUGGUUACAUCAGGAUAUGUUUCUGUUGUAAAGGUGCUUAUUUUGAAUCGUUGGUCACGUACUUUACUACAAUGAAAACAUUAUUUAUGUGGAUUUGUUUAAAAUAUUUUUGUGUACUGUUGUGGAAAUGGUAUAUGAGACAGCACAUUGUAUACGAUACAUAUAGUCAGAACAGUUAGCUUUACAGCCAUUGUAAAAAAUGUUGUAGAAGAGCUACCUACAGUAGUUCUGAGGUUUAGAUUCUGUAUUUCAGUUAACAUUUCUAAUGCCAAAGGCAUCUUAAGAUGAUAUAUUGUGUAUAUAUUUUGUAACUUCUGAAAAAAUCUACAACAUGUCUUCUGAAUGGCUGCUCCUAAAUUAUAAUCAUCAUUUCAUCCACCUAGAAAUUCCAUUUUUCACAAAUUUAUUAGAUCUUUUUGGUUUUUGUUUUUUAGUUUUGGUUUGUGUUUUGGGUUUUUUUGUUUUUUGUUUGUUUGUUUGGUUUGGUUUGGGUUUUUUUUUUCUUUUCUUUUUUGGGGGGUUUUGAUUUUGGUUUUUUUAUUAAAGAAAGUCUAAAAAGUUCAAUCAUCUUUUUUAUUAAAUAAAAAAAAAACAAUUUUACCGUUAGGGAAAGCACUCGUAAUGAUAGGCCUCUAUCUAUUAUCAAUCCAAAGUGUACUCAGUAGCACAUGGCAAGGUGGUACCAGGCUAUCCUGGGGAGCACAGGAGCAUUCAAACAACUUGUUUAACUGUCUUGAUCCACAGGAAACCACACUUACCAAAGUAUAAUAAAAUAA